Molecule: long non-coding RNA, 2291 nt
Organism: Hypanus sabinus (Atlantic stingray)
Lineage: Eukaryota; Metazoa; Chordata; Chondrichthyes; Myliobatiformes; Dasyatidae
Exons: 3
Source: RefSeq, a predicted model, not a curated record
ACAACCACUUUAAAAUGGCGGCAGAAUGAUACUGGCUUUUGGACACUGUUUGUGCUGAUGAGAGAGAGAGAGAGAGAGAGAGAGAGAGAGAGAGAGAGAGAGAGAGAGAGAGAGAAAGAGAGAGAGAAUGAGAGAGAGAGAAAGAAAGAGAGAGAGGGGGGAGAGAGAGAGAGAGAGAGAGAGAGAAUGAUUUAGUAUUAUGGAUUCUUCGAUGAUUGUUUACUUUUGCUCCAAGGACACUUUUGCCUGCUUGUGUGAAUCCCUGCUGACACAGAAAAGCAGUGCUAGGUGUCUGCUGUGACAAGAAGGCGGGGCCAGAUGAUGGACAUGGACAGUUGAUGGAUGGCUGGUACCCCAUCGGGCAGACACAGGCAGACACGCCACGGGAUACUGAAAGAGCAUCAGGAAGGUGGGGGCUUGGAGGAUCGAUCAGAGGCUCACAGUGUGUGAAGGCAGACCAGUGGGGUGUGUCCACCCUCGCCUGGGUGAAGGGAUCACCACUGAAGAACAGCCUGGCCGGGAACGGAGGGGUCACAGUCGGUGACCGCAACAGCACAACAGGACAAGAAGACAAUGGAAGACCAUACUUACUCAGCCUGGUAAACACUUUACUAAGAUUCUGGAGGUGCUCUUCAUCAUUUAUCCAGUCACGAUGAUGUCAACAAGGUAACAUAAUGGUCCUGGGAUAUCGAGGAACGCUUGGUCCAUUGCUCUUUGUCAAAUUGCCCACAAGAAUUCAUCAUUCUCUCAAAUUGUCAAGGAUGAGAGUGGAAAAUGAACACUUGUUCAGUAUUGUCUGCCUGUGGUUGACCGGUCGCCAUCUCUCUCGCUACUACUGCUACUCCAGCAGCCACUGGGUUCCCGGACAGGUCAACUCACCUCAGCGCUGAGUGAGCUCAGUAUCUGUGGACUCACGUUCAGGGAUUCAGCAGUUCAAAUUCCAUUGGCUCUUGUUUACUACUUUUACCACUUGUGUGAUUUGGUCAAGGCUCUUCAGCGCUGACAGGCUCCAUGGCUGUGGACUCACUUCUGGGGACUCCGCAAAGUGUUCUGUGUGCUAUUUGUUUACCUUUUGUUCUUUGCACGAUUUGUCCUUCUUUUUUAACACAUUGGGUGUUUGACAGUGUUUGUUGUGUGGGUUCUUUUUAAUGGGUUCUACUGUGUUAUGUGGCUGCCUGCAAGAAGGUGAAUCACAAGAUUGAAUACAUACUUUGAUAAUAAGGGUACUUUGAACUUUGAAGUGUCAGUCCAAAAGUACUUGGGAGCAUGUAUAUUAUGCCACAAUAAUCAGUGCCAUGAAUCAGCUAGCAACCAGAGCUACGCUAUUAAACCUUGUCAUCAAGUAUCCAGGAGAGAUUUGAUAUGUGAGCUAGAAACUUAGCCAAUGAGUAGCAGGUGGAUUUGAGUGACAGGUUACUGUGUGACUCAAUGUCCCAACCAUCUGGUAGUGAAGGCAGGUGCAACACUUGCACUGCCUGGGAUCUCCGCCAAACGGUUUUAAAUGAACAUCGCUUCAUGUGAAUAGUUUACUUCUAAUGCCACCCUCUAUUUCCCUUGUAGAGAAAAUUAUUCCAUUUAAUGGAACACACACAAAAUGCUGGAAGAACCCAACAGGUCAGGCAACAGCUAUGGAGAGGGAUGACUUUUCAGAUCAAGACUCGUCAUCAACAUUCUAUUUGACAUUUUAAUCAGGAAACUUAUAGUAUGCAAUGAGUUGGUAUUAAAUCCCCUCACUUAACUUCUGAGUUUCCCUGAAAUCUCCUGAGUUCUCUGUUGUAACUGAAGAGUUAAGCAAAUCUCUUCAUUGUGUCUUUUAAAUACUGAACAUUAGAAUGUAUUGAAUCAAUAAGAUUUAGGAUCAAAUAGGAUAACAUAAAAAAUAGUUGAGAAGGAACCUCAAAGGAUGGAUGAGAUUGUCACAUACACCAGGGUGCAAUGAAUUUCCUUGUUCUCAUUGUUAGGUAUUAUUCCAGAGCUGUGAAAUUAUGAAUAGCAGAUAUUGAUUUCUUUCCGUUUAAGGUGGUGCUGGUGAAGCCCAGCAACUACUUACCGGUGGCAAACAAAACAAAGAAUUCAACUAAGUACUUUAUUAAUAACAUUUUUUCUGGAAAACAAAUAUUGUAAAUAAUGGAGGGGCAAGGCAGAGACAUGGUGAGCUCUCGAUGUAUGUAUAAUAUAUACAUACUUUGAUAAUAAAUGUAGAUUGACCUUUGAACUUAGAUUAAAACAAGGACACAGUAGACUGCAGAACCAGUCUUCAGAAAAUAAAACCUGUUCACGAUUUCAACUGA